Molecule: ribosomal RNA, 379 nt
Filed under: uncultured eukaryote
Lineage: Eukaryota
Description: partial 18S ribosomal RNA
Rfam family: Eukaryotic small subunit ribosomal RNA
Source: RNAcentral
CAAUAGCGUAUAUUAAAGUUGUUGCGGUUAAAAAGCUCGUAGUUGGAUUUCUGCUGAGGACGACCGGUCCGCCCUCUGGGUGAGUAUCUGGCUCGGCCUUGGCAUCUUCUUGGAGAACGUUGCUGCACUUGACUGUGUGGCGCGGUAUCCAGGACAUUUACUUUGAGGAAAUUAGAGUGUUUCAAGCAGGCAUACGCCUUGAAUACAUUAGCAUGGAAUAAUAAGAUAGGACCUCGGUUCUAUUUUGUUGGUUUCUAGAGCUGAGGUAAUGAUUAAUAGGGAUAGUUGGGGGCAUUCGUAUUUAACUGUCAGAGGUGAAAUUCUUGGAUUUGUUAAAGGCGGACUACUGCGAAAGCAUUUGCCAAGGAUGUUUNCAUUG